Molecule: ribosomal RNA, 386 nt
Filed under: uncultured bacterium
Lineage: Bacteria
Description: bacterial SSU rRNA
Rfam family: Bacterial small subunit ribosomal RNA
Source: RNAcentral
GACGAACGCUGGCGGCGUGCUUAACGCAUGCAAGUCGAGCGGUAAGGCCCUUUCGGGGGUACGACGAGCGGCGAACGGGUGAGUAACACGUGGGUGACCUGCCCUCAGCUCUGGGAUAAGCCUGGGAAACCGGGUCUAAUACCGGAUAUGACUCCAUGACGCAUGUUGUGGGGUGGAAAGCCUUGUGCGGCUGAGGAUGGGCCCGCGGCCUAUCAGCUUGUUGGUGGGGUGAGGCCUACCAAGGCGACGAUCGGUAGCUGGUCUGAGAGGACGACCAGCCACACUGGGACUGAGACACGGCCCAGACUCCUACGGGAGGCAGCAGUGGGGAAUAUUGGACAAUGGGCGAAAGCCUGAUCCAGCGAUGCCGCGUGUGUAGAAGAAGG